GACGAACGCUGGCGGCGUGCUUAACACAUGCAAGUCGAACGGAAAGGCCCUGCUUUUGUGGGGUGCUCGAGUGGCGAACGGGUGAGUAACACGUGAGUAACCUGCCCUUGACUUUGGGAUAACUUCAGGAAACUGGGGCUAAUACCGGAUAGGAGCUCCUGCUGCAUGGUGGGGGUUGGAAAGUUUCGGCGGUUGGGGAUGGACUCGCGGCUUAUCAGCUUGUUGGUGGGGUAGUGGCUUACCAAGGCUUUGACGGGUAGCCGGCCUGAGAGGGUGACCGGCCACAUUGGAACGGGGAUACGGCCCAGACUCCUAGGGGGGGCAGCAGGGGGGAAUAUUUCACAAGGGGGGGAAGCCUGAUGCAGCAACGCCGGGGGGGGGAGGAGGGCCUUCGGGUUGAAAACCGCUUUCGCCUGUGACAAAGGGGGGGGGACGGUAAUGGGAAAAGAAGCACCGGCUAACUACGU
RNAcentral lists this ribosomal RNA (467 nucleotides) under uncultured bacterium. Its description in RNAcentral is "partial 16S ribosomal RNA". It matches the Rfam family "Bacterial small subunit ribosomal RNA", at positions 28 to 506 of the family's 1533-position model. The record is from RNAcentral.